Long non-coding RNA from Mauremys reevesii (Reeves's turtle), 683 nucleotides. RefSeq lists it as uncharacterized. The record is from RefSeq and is a predicted model, not a curated record. The transcript is spliced from 3 exons. NCBI's taxonomy places the organism in Eukaryota, Metazoa, Chordata, Testudines, Geoemydidae.
GGGCUACAGGAAGGAACUCUAGUUACUCCCUAGAGAGGAGGGGACUUGGUAAGAGAGAAGGAGGUGCUCUACGGAGACACAUAGGGAAAUACGAUCACCUCGUCUGGAGGGACAUUGAUGCCGUGGAAGGAGGCGGGGGACCAUAGUGACAUUGCAGAAGGGCCAAGUGAUGAGGAGAGAGAGAGCGGGCUCACAGCACUUAAUCAAAGGAGAGCUGCAUCCAGGCCCGGAAAUGGCACUGGAAGGUUUCCUAGCGUAUCCCUGGAAUGUCCCCCUCAGCUAUCCUGGAGGGACGACCACUAGUAGGAAGAAAGUAGUUCUCAUUUUCAGUACUUGGUAGCUAAGCUGAAAAUGAUCAAAUAAGAACCUUAUGACCAGAGCCGGCUCCAGUGUUUUUGCUGCCCCAAGCGGCGGGGGGAAAAUAAAAAGCUGCGAUAUGCGGCAGCUCCACCGCCGCCACUUCGUUCUUCAGCAGCAAUUCGGCAGCCGGUCCUUCCGUCCGAGAGGGACUGAGGAAUCCACCCCUGAAGAGUCGGACAUGCCGCCCCUCUCCGUUGGCCGCCCCAAGCACCUACUUGUUGCGCUGGUGCCUGGAGUUGGCCCUGCUUAUGACAGUGGCUUGGGCAAUGUUACCAUUUUUGGAAUUAAAAAAAAAAAGAAGCAAAAUUGAACUCACAGGUGGG